GACGAACGCUGGCGGCGUGCCUAAUACAUGCAAGUAGAACGCUGAAGGAGGAGCUUGCUUCUCUGGAUGAGUUGCGAACGGGUGAGUAACGCGUAGGUAACCUGCCUGGUAGCGGGGGAUAACUAUUGGAAACGAUAGCUAAUACCGCAUAAUAGUAGAUGUUGCAUGACAUUUGCUUAAAAGGUGCAAUUGCAUCACUACCAGAUGGACCUGCGUUGUAUUAGCUAGUUGGUGGGGUAACGGCUCACCAAGGCGACGAUACAUAGCCGGCCUGAGAGGGGUGACGGCCACACUGGGACGGGAACACGGCCCAGACUCCUACGGGGGGGAGCAGGAAGGAAGUGUCGGCAAAUGACGGAAGGCUGACCGAGCAACGCCGCGGGAGGGAAUAAGGGUUUCGGAUCGGAAAGCUCUGUUGUAAGGGAAGAACGAGUGUGAGAGUGGAAAGUUCACACUGUGACGGUAUCUUACCAGAAAGGGACGGCUAACUACGUG
This 495-nucleotide ribosomal RNA is filed under the name uncultured bacterium. RNAcentral's name for it is "partial 16S ribosomal RNA". It matches the Rfam family "Bacterial small subunit ribosomal RNA", at positions 28 to 507 of the family's 1533-position model. The record is from RNAcentral.